Molecule: ribosomal RNA, 658 nt
Filed under: uncultured bacterium
Lineage: Bacteria
Description: bacterial SSU rRNA
Rfam family: Bacterial small subunit ribosomal RNA
Source: RNAcentral
CGUCUACUCUUGGACAGCCUUCUGAAAGGAAGAUUAAUACAAGAUGGCAUCAUGAGUCCGCAUGUUCACAUGAUCAAAGGUAUUCCGGUAGACGAUGGGGAUGCGUUCCAUUAGAUAGUAGGCGGGGUAACGGCCCACCUAGUCUUCGAUGGAUAGGGGUUCUGAGAGGAAGGUCCCCCACAUUGGAACUGAGACACGGUCCAAACUCCUACGGGAGGCAGCAGUGAGGAAUAUUGGUCAAUGGGCGAGAGCCUGAACCAGCCAAGUAGCGUGAAGGAUGACUGCCCUAUGGGUUGUAAACUUCUUUUAUAAAGGAAUAAAGUCGGGUAUGCAUACCCGUUUGCAUGUACUUUAUGAAUAAGGAUCGGCUAACUCCGUGCCAGCAGCCGCGGUAAUACGGAGGAUCCGAGCGUUAUCCGGAUUUAUUGGGUUUAAAGGGAGCGUAGAUGGAUGUUUAAGUCAGUUGUGAAAGUUUGCGGCUCAACCGUAAAAUUGCAGUUGAUACUGGAUAUCUUGAGUGCAGUUGAGGCAGGCGGAAUUCGUGGUGUAGCGGUGAAAUGCUUAGAUAUCACGAAGAACUCCGAUUGCGAAGGCAGCCUGCUAAGCUGCAACUGACAUUGAGGCUCGAAAGUGUGGGUAUCAAACAGGAUUAGAUACC